CGUGAGUAACCUGCCCUUGACUCUGGGAUAAGCCUGGGGAAACCGGGUCUAAUACUUGGAUACCGACGUCCCUACCGCAUGGGUGGGGGCGGUGGAAAGGGGUUUUACUGGGUUUUGGAUGGGCUCACGGCCUAUCAGCUUUGUUUGGUGGGGUAAUGGCCUACCAAGGCGACGACGGGUAGCCGGCCUGAGAGGGUGACCGGCCACACUGGGACUGAGACACGGCCCAGACUCCUACGGGAGGCAGCAGUGGGGAAUAUUGCACAAUGGGCGGAAGCCUGAUGCAGCGACGCCGCGUGAGGGAUGACGGCCUUCGGGUUGUAAACCUCUUUCAGCAGGGAAGAAGCCACAAGUGACGGUACCUGCAGAAGAAGCGCCGGCUAACUACGUGCCAGCAGCCGCGGUAAUACGUAGGGCGCAAGCGUUGUCCGGAAUUAUUGGGCGUAAAGAGCUCGUAGGCGGUUUGUCGCGUCUGCUGUGAAAGCCCGGGGCUCAACCCCGGGUCUGCAGUGGGUACGGGCAGACUAGAGUGCAGUAGGGGAGACUGGAAUUCCUGGUGUAGCGGUGAAAUGCGCAGAUAUCAGGAGGAACACCGAUGGCGAAGGCAGGUCUCUGGGCUGUUACUGACGCUGAGGAGCGAAAGCAUGGGGAGCGAACAGGAUUAGAUACCCUGGUAGUCCAUGCCGUAAACGUUGGGCACUAGGUGUGGGGGACAUUCCACGUUCUCCGCGCCGUAGCUAACGCAUUAAGUGCCCCGCCUGGGGAGUACGGCCGCAAGGCUAAAACUCAAAGGAAUUGACGGGGGCCCGCACAAGCGGCGGAGCAUGCGGAUUAAUUCGAUGCAACGCGAAGAACCUUACCAAGGCUUGACAUCCACCGGACCGCACUGGAGACAGUGUUUCCCUUCGGGGCUGGUGGACAGGUGGUGCAUGGUUGUCGUCAGCUCGUGUCGUGAGAUGUUGGGUUAAGUCCCGCAACGAGCGCAACCCUCGUUCUAUGUUGCCAGCACGUGAUGGUGGGGACUCAUAGGAGACUGCCGGGGUCAACUCGGAGGAAGGUGGGGAUGACGUCAAAUCAUCAUGCCCCUUAUGUCUUGGGCUUCACGCAUGCUACAAUGGCCGGUACAAAGGGUUGCGAUACUGUGAGGUGGAGCUAAUCCCAAAAAGCCGGUCUCAGUUCGGAUUGAGGUCUGCAACUCGCCCUCAUGAAGUAGGAGUC
This 1218-nucleotide ribosomal RNA is filed under the name Kocuria flava. Its description in RNAcentral is "bacterial SSU rRNA". It matches the Rfam family "Bacterial small subunit ribosomal RNA", at positions 116 to 1333 of the family's 1533-position model. Lineage: Bacteria; Bacillati; Actinomycetota; Actinomycetes; Micrococcales; Micrococcaceae. The record is from RNAcentral.